GACGAACGCUGGCGGCGUGCUUAACACAUGCAAGUCGAACGGAAAGGCCCUGCUUUUGUGGGGUGCUCGAGUGGCGAACGGGUGAGUAACACGUGAGUAACCUGCCCUUGACUUUGGGAUAACUUCAGGAAACUGGGGCUAAUACCGGAUAGGAGCUCCUGCUGCAUGGUGGGGGUUGGAAAGUUUCGGCGGUUGGGGAUGGACUCGCGGCUUAUCAGCUUGUUGGUGGGGUAGUGGCUUACCAAGGCUUUGACGGGUAGCCGGCCUGAGAGGGUGACCGGCCACAUGGGGACUGAGAGACGGCCCAGACGCCUACGGGAGGCAGCAGUGGGGAAUAUUGCACAAUGGGCGGAAGCCUGAUGCAGCAACGCCGCGUGCGGGAUGACGGCCUUCGGGUUGUAAACCGCUUUCGCCUGUGACGAAGCGUGAGUGACGGGAAUGGGUAAAGAAGCACCGGCUAACUACGUG
Molecule: ribosomal RNA, 468 nt
Filed under: uncultured bacterium
Lineage: Bacteria
Description: partial 16S ribosomal RNA
Rfam family: Bacterial small subunit ribosomal RNA
Source: RNAcentral